AAGGAUUUGGUCAACAAGUGCAGAGAAGCUGCAAGCCCUUCCAUAACUUUGGGAGUCUUCAACAGCCACUGGCGUAUCUAUUGAUUUACGGUGCUUUUAAAAUGGGAACAUCGCAACUAUGACGCAGACAAAUAGCUACUCCUGAUAUGCCAGAAGACCUUGCCACCUCGGGCAGAAUACCCCUAUGGAAACAGGAGCUGGGCUCCUCCAGGGCUGUCACUUUCGGUGACAGGCUCUCAGCAAGCCACAGUCUUCACCUCUCCUGCCUGCCACCCGGACUGGGUGCCAGUGUUUUCCUGCUCCUGGUAGGCAGUGGGGUAUUCAAUGCUUCAGACACUUGGAGAAAUGUGCCUUCUGUCAUUUCAGAAACGGGCUGAGCAGUGUGGAGUGCCAAUACCUCCUGAGAGACUGCAAGCCAGGGCAGAGAUCUACGCAAGUGUGAGUCACAGGCGAGUCCUUGGCAUCUCAACUAGAUCAGUAUCCCCUGAUCAUCUCCAUGCCUUUUUGUAAAGAUGCCAACUAUACUCAAUUAGGGGUUCACCCUGCUCCAGGAUGACAGCAGCUCCAUAAUUACACUCAAAUAAGAGAUCCUUGGGAUGCAAAUGUGUGAUGGGGGGGGCACAGUGCAUGGGCCUAAAACUCUGGCAUUCCUGCAGAGCCCAGCACCUUGGAAGAUCCUAGGUUCUGCUGGAACACUCCCAGCGACACCCAGGGAGCCGGUGGGGUCCUUGGUUCAUUUGACGCCAGUCCCUCUGAGGGACCCUUCCAAAGCCCUGGCUUUCACGGUUUAAACGGAGCUUAGAGCUGUAGCCAUGGUUCUAAUUAAGGGUUGACAGGGCAUGUCGUGACAUCAUCAAUAAAC
This is a long non-coding RNA of Mesocricetus auratus (golden hamster), 862 nucleotides long. RefSeq lists it as uncharacterized. The record is from RefSeq and is a predicted model, not a curated record. The transcript is spliced from 3 exons. NCBI's taxonomy places the organism in Eukaryota, Metazoa, Chordata, Mammalia, Rodentia, Cricetidae.